GGAGCUUGUGGUGGACACUUGACUUCAUUUCAUCGACUAAAGCGACGAGGGAGAUUGUAACACUGAGGUGAAUGCAGAAGGAUCAAACUUCAGCUCCAGGCAAUCUGCAGCUUUGAACCUGCGCGCCAUUCCUGUCAGCCUGGAACAUUUGCUUCCUGAGAAGAGAAGACUGCUUUGAGUCACAAUGGACUACCUCAAGAGGCACAAGCUGAAGGUUUUGCCAUGGCCCUCACAGUCCCCUGACCUAAACAUCAUCAGGAAUCUGUGGAUAGACUUCAAAAGAGCAGUGCAUGCAAGACGGCCCAGGAAUCUCACAGAACUAGAAGCCUUUUGCAAGGAAGAAUAGGCGAAAAUCCCCCAAACAAGAAUUGAAAGACUCCCAGCUGGCGACAAAAAGCGUUUACAAGCUGUAAUACUUGCCAAGGGGGUGUUACUAAGUACUGCAUGCAGGGUGCCCAAACUUUUGCUUUGGGCCCUUUUCUUUUUUUGUUAUUUUGAAA
Long non-coding RNA from Mobula hypostoma (lesser devil ray), 500 nucleotides. RefSeq lists it as uncharacterized. NCBI's taxonomy places the organism in Eukaryota, Metazoa, Chordata, Chondrichthyes, Myliobatiformes, Myliobatidae. The transcript is spliced from 3 exons. The record is from RefSeq and is a predicted model, not a curated record.